AGUGAACGCUGGCGGUAGGCCUAACACAUGCAAGUCGAACGGCAGCACAGUAAGAGCUUGCUCUUACGGGUGGCGAGUGGCGGACGGGUGAGGAAUACAUCGGAAUCUACUUUUUCGUGGGGGAUAACGUAGGGAAACUUACGCUAAUACCGCAUACGACCUACGGGUGAAAGCAGGGGAUCUUCGGACCUUGCGCGAUUGAAUGAGCCGAUGUCGGAUUAGCUAGUUGGCGGGGUAAAGGCCCACCAAGGCGACGAUCCGUAGCUGGUCUGAGAGGAUGAGCAGCCACACUGGAACUGAGACACGGUCCAGACUCCUACGGGAGGCAGCAGUGGGGAAUAUUGGACAAUGGGCGCAAGCCUGACCCAGCCAUACCGCGUGGGUGAAGAAGGCCUUCGGGUUGUAAAGCCCUUUUGUUGGGAAAGAAAAGCAGCAGGUUAAUACCCCGCUGUUCUGACGGUACCCAAAGAAUAAGCACCGGCUAACUUCGU
RNAcentral lists this ribosomal RNA (491 nucleotides) under uncultured bacterium. Its description in RNAcentral is "partial 16S ribosomal RNA". It matches the Rfam family "Bacterial small subunit ribosomal RNA", at positions 29 to 506 of the family's 1533-position model. The record is from RNAcentral.